UACAGAGGUGGCAAGCGUUGUUCGGAAUUACUGGGCGUAAAGGGCGCGUAGGCGGCCUUCUAAGUCAGACGUGAAAUCCCCAGGCUUAACUUGGGAACUGCGUCUGAUACUGGGAGGCUUGAGUGCGGGAGAGGGAUGUGGAAUUCCAGGUGUAGCGGUGAAAUGCGUAGAUAUCUGGAGGAACACCGGUGGCGAAGGCGGCAUCCUGGACCGACACUGACGCUGAGGCGCGAAAGCGUGGGUAGCAAACAGG
Molecule: ribosomal RNA, 253 nt
Filed under: uncultured bacterium
Lineage: Bacteria
Description: partial 16S ribosomal RNA
Rfam family: Bacterial small subunit ribosomal RNA
Source: RNAcentral